GUGGGGAAUAUUGGACAAUGGGCGAAAGCCUGAUCUAGCCAUGCCGCGUGUGUGAAGAAGGUCUUCGGAUUGUAAAGCACUUUAAGUUGGGAGGAAGGGCAUUAACCUAAUACGUUAGUGUUUUGACGUUACCGACAGAAUAAGCACCGGCUAACUCUGUGCCAGCAGCCGCGGUAAUACAGAGGGUGCAAGCGUUAAUCGGAAUUACUGGGCGUAAAGCGCGCGUAGGUGGUUCGUUACGUUGGAUGUGAAAUCCCCGGGCUCCACCUGGGAACUGCGUCCAAAACUGGCGAGCUAGAGUAGGGCAGAGGGUGGUGGAAUUUCCUGUGUAGCGGAGAAAUGCGUAGAUAUAGGAAGGAACACCAGUGGCGAAGGCGACCACCUGGGCUCAUACUGACACUGAGGUGCGAAAGCGUGGGGAGCAAACAGGAUUAGAUACCCCUGUAGUCC
This 450-nucleotide ribosomal RNA is filed under the name uncultured bacterium. Its description in RNAcentral is "partial 16S ribosomal RNA". It matches the Rfam family "Bacterial small subunit ribosomal RNA", at positions 354 to 796 of the family's 1533-position model. The record is from RNAcentral.